UUGGAGUUGACCUCACUAAUCACCACAACGUCAUCGGAAUCAUCGUCAUCGGUUACCUUGUCGACGGAUUCCAAAAGCUCCGAUACCCAAUCAAAGUUGUCCUCCUCAUCCAGGUCGUUCCGCCCCAGUUCGUCGUCGGAGCUUAUGUAGAUUGGACCCAAAUUCAUGGCUGAUUGAAGUUCAAAGACUAGGGUUUGAAGAAAAGCUCGAACUUUUGAUUGAACUGGAGAAUUCGAGGCAUGGGUUGUGAAGAAAGAAACGAAUGAAUUAAACGGGAAGCCAAUGCCCGAACCACAUGAAAAUGGGCAAGCCUCGGAUUUCCGGGAAAAUUUCCGGACUUUCCCGGGAAAUUUUCUGUAAAGGGAAAGUUGAAAGAUUGAGGAAGGGCAUUUAGGGUUUUGAAUUGAGCGAGAAAGAUGAAAAUAUUAGGGUUUGAAAUAGAUCGUCGACUUUGGCGGUGAGAGAGAGAGAGAGAGAGAGAGAGAGAGAGAGAGGAGGAGGAGGAGUGAGGAAGUGACUCAACUCCUCAAAGUCGUUUUACCUAACCGACGACGAAUGUCAGGGAUAUUGACGGAAUUUUCAGUUUUGUGAGGGGCGUUCACUUUACGACUAAGAAGGGAUUGUCGUUCUUGCCGUUGGGUCAUGCUGGCCUUGUGGUCGUGGGUUGAGUAGACGAUCUCGGUGGGGUAAGUUAGAUUUUGGGUUGGGCUACAUCAAGAAUUUGUUGAGAGUUUCAACGCGGAGAGAAUCGACAUUUUAUGUGUUUAUAAGAAGUCCGCUAUUUACAAGUUAUUAUAUUGUGAAUUGAUUUUAUGAUAAAAUUUUAACUUUUUUCUUAGUAACAAAGCAGAUUCGACAUUAUGCUUCAAAUCAUCCGAUUUAUGUUAAGACUUGAGAUCAACCCCUUCAAAAUAUGUAGGUGUAUGAUGGAGUUCUACGUGUGCUGCAUCACCAAUUGUUGCUAAUUUGUGAAUUAGGGCGAAUAAUUUUUCUUCAUGACUGUUUCAUCUUCUACAUUUAACUUGGACAGUCGUUAAAAAUGAUCUUGUUAGAAACAAUUCUCUCAAACAAACGCAACCUUAAUUUCUGAUUUAUGUGGCCUUUGGUCUGGUAAUUCAUGUGACACUUUUUCAAACCAAAGAAAGGAAGGAAUUAACAACUGGCCAUGUGGUCCUAGUAUCAUAAAAUUGUCUAAGACAUAUAUGGAUGUAUGAGGGCGAAUCUAUAGCACCAUUUCAUUACACAAAUUUUUGUAGGACGUACUCCGUAAUGUACUUUAAUGAUCCGAACUAUCUAUAUUUUAGAUCAUCAUUGCAAAAAAUUAGACAAAUCCAAAACCAUUAAGACAUUCAUUUGUAGUGAAAAAAAUAGAUGAAGAUGGUUCUACAAAGAAACCAUAAACCCUUAAUCCAACGGCCGUAUGGUUUCAAAUUUGAGUGAUUUUUUGUAGACAUGAUGUUUGAGAGAAGAUCUAAAAGAUAAACGGUUCGAAUCAUUGAAAUACAUCAUGGAUCCGUUCCCAUAGUUAUAUACACACGUAUACAUAGCAAUGCUGAAUGUGAAUUGAUUGGUCCAUAUAGCAUCCCAUGUAGUACAUUGCUAUUUAUAUAUAGCAAUGUUGGAGGUGGAUUGAUGGGUAAGUGAAAGCAACCAGACCAUCCGACAUAUAUAUUUGUUAGGUGGGUUUUGAUGAACUCUAUUCAUUUCGAAUACCAACAUUCAUCAUCUCUUCAAUUUUUUACUACUUAUUGAUGAUUUCAGAUGCGUACUAGUAUUUAAAUCCGUGCAAUACUGCAGGUUAUAAAACUAUGUUAAACAUUUGAAAUAUAUUAAAAUUUAUUUACAUUCAUGUUAGAAUCUAAAAAUGAUUCGAAGUGUAUUUGGAGAUCUCGAAAUAUAAAUGUCUUGAACAAAUGUAGAAUAUCUUAAAUGCAUUUAGACACACAUAUCAUUUGAACAAAAGGGUCAUGGUUCUUGGUAUGCUACAACCAAAAUAAUGUAAAGUAGCUAGGUACAAAUAUCAAUCAUAUUUUUCCAUCUACAUUACAUUAUGAGCUGCUUAUUAUCCAAAAUACAAUAGAUUGGUUGACCAAUUAACUUUUCAAAAAUUGAUCGGAGUUCGAAAGUAUGUGAUCUCACAUCCAUGGUUGCUCAUCCCUAUACAUGUAGCAAAAUAGCUAGCAAUUACAUCAUCGCAAGUCCUCACAUCAUCUUUCAUUGCAUCCCUGAAAAGCAAAGUGAUUCAAAAAUGUAUUUGCCCUUAAGUUUAGGGUAUUUACCAUAUGUUUCCUUCAAUCAAUUGAAGAAAUCUGACAUUUUAGUAGAUGGGGUUUGUUCAAAAGAAUAAAAAUUCUUCCUCAGUUUUUCAAAUUAGACACUAAAUUCUUCAAGAAGCAUAAUAAGAUAGUGUCCUCGUAUAUAUUGAUUGUUUAUUGAUUACGUAAUACUUAUAUAUUGACUAUUUAUGAUUCAAUGUUUAGUUCUCCACAACACAUAGUUAAUAUAUGGUAAUUACUUUGAGAUCAAUGAACCAUCAAUAUGAGAAAAUUCUGUACAAAGAUCUAUAUAUCAAUUGCAAAAGCAUGCUAAGCAUAAUUUUUGUUGUGCGUUUCAAUUUAAAUUCACAUCACCUAUGUACAUUUCAGUUCAUUACGCAAUUUGCCAAUCUCAAUUUCAAUUCACAUAUAUUAAAUUAGUUCACAUUCAUAUACACAUUACAUGUCACACACAUUUGACAUUUCAGUUAAUAUUCACAUAAGUCACAUCCACACAUAAAAUAUAUAAUUACCUCAGGCAAGCAGUUCACCCUCCACAUAAUAUGCCCUUAAUUCGUCUGCUUUUCUUUCACAAUUAUUGCAGCGCUUCUAAGAAGAAACAUACCAACAUUCAUUUCGAAUACCAACAUUCAUCAUCUCUUCAAUUUUUUAGGUGGGGUAGCUCCAACUAAGGAAAAGAGAAGAAAUAAAUGACAGAUUUAUGUUAUCCAUACUGCAAAAAAAAAAAAUUGAUUGAAUCAUAUUGAAUCUGACCAAUUUUGAAUAAAACUAAACGAAAAAAAAGUAAUCACAAUUAAGUUAAACUCUUCUUCUCAUAUGGAGUAAAUCUUGUCCGCUGUUUUGCUUCUGCGUACAACGCACUGUUUACUGUUUCGACACAAAAAAAACAUAUUUAAAAUUCUCAACAUCAUUACAAAAACUAUACGCGCAAUAUUAUUUACAAGCAAAGGAUAAAUAUUUACCAACAAAACAAUGGAUUGUAAUAAAUUAUCUUCAACCAAGUAGUCAUGAAUCUUUACUUAUUAAACAACACCAAAUUAAAAAAAAUUAAGGAAAUUCAUACCAAAAACUUCAACUGUCACACAUAUAGCUAUAAGUUUUUUUUUAGUACAUUUAUAUUUUUACACUAAGGAAAUGGGGAGUUCGGCUACACAAUAGACAAUCUAAUUUGGUAUUGAAUUCGCCAUCCAUGGGAUUCGAACCUAAGACCUUUCACUUUCAAUUGAAGAGGAAUACCACUAAACAAUAGUACUGAGUGACAUAUAACUAUAAAUUUUAAAUAAAGUACUUUUUCAUCUUCUUAAUGAUAUUUUCAGUCAAUAUACCAUUUGUCCCCAAAAGACUUUUGUGUUAUAAACCUUGUUGUAAUUUAAUAUUCCACUAAAGAAAAAAUAUAUAACACACAAAUAAUUGGUUCAUGAAGACGAAAAAGAGAGAAGAUGAAAAUGAACCAAUUAAUUUAAGUAUUAGGUGUUACCUAAUUUACAAAUGCUACCUCUCUCAACCGAUGUCAAAAUGUUCCCAAUCAAGAUCAAUUCUGACAUAGUCAUAAUGUGAUCAAAUUACUUCUAAGAAGCAACAUACCUAAUAAGAUGUAAUAACUAUAAAACUGAUAGAAAAAUAAACCCAACUUCCAAUAUGUUGGCAGUAAAUUAAAUACCCAAAAAUUCUUUUUGACAUUGCAUUGUAAACCCCUUUGCAAACUAGAAAAGCAAUAACCAUAUAUAUUUCUAAAAAAAAAAAAUACUUUAUGCACACAAAUAAUCAGAUAAACAUAUUAUCCAUUGCACUUUAUGAAAACAAAUAUAUGCACUGGGCAAUUAUGUCUUGAAGGCCAGAAAUGCAAAAUACCGAUAGUAAAAACACUCAGAAAAAGUGAGAAAUCGAUAAUCCAUUCAGGAAAACAACAAAGAAAACGAUUUGGUUACCAGUGUCAAGCAGUCUCAUUUGCCUUGAAAUUGGGGGUAGCACCCGAGUUUCAAUUUUCAUGCCCUUAAAAUUCAAAAAGGCCAUGUUUAAAUCCGCAAAUAGACGCAUUGUAUAUAAGAAGAAUAUACUAAAUAUAAUGAGGUUUAGAAGCCCAACCAUGUGAGUAAAGUCCUCAUGCCAGGUUGCUUAUGGAUGACCCUCCUAUUCCUUGGAGCAGUCAGGAGACUUGGCUUCCUGCUUUCAAGUUUAGAAGGGAUGUAAAAGGUUUAGAGAAUAAGUGAAAAAUAACUUGCAUCGGUAUAACAUUAACAUUAUGUACACUUUUUAAGUGACAAUGACUUGGUUUCACAAUUCUAAUUUUUGAGUAUUUUGGUACACGAUUUUGCACAGUUCUAAAAUCUUGUAUUAUGAUUUGGAUUUCUGUUAUGCAUGCAUACACUACAAAAGUAAUACAGUAAUUUAAGGAAAGACACUUGCAGCCAUGUUUCUAAUUGAUGCAUCUCUUGUGUUUCAUUAAUUUUUUUCUUUCUUUCUAUAAUCAAGCUUACACACUUCAAAAACCAAAAAGAGAAUGUUGUAAAGGGAAAAUUAGAAAGUCAUAUUGAAAACCACAAUCUAGGCACAUUAAUAAUCUAACUAAUGAAUGUGAUUCGAGAAAUAAACCACUGUUUGAGUGCAAGCAAUGGGAUCCUAUCCUUGCAUUGCUGUUUACACAUAGCACUCUGCACAUAAAACUCGUAAAAAAAAAUUAAUACACAGUCCAUACGCAAAUCAACCAACAAAUAAAAAAAUCCUUCAAUCCCAACAGAUUUCAAACACAUGUUGAUCUCUUCAAAACCCAUAAUACAAAAACAUAGAUUUCAACAUGACCCUCAGGCAAAAGACCAAAGCUAACGGCUAGGGUGGAGCAAAAAAUAAUCACAAGGCGACACGUGGAUUUUUUGUAAAAAGGAUAAAGUUAUCCCUGAGACACACCGAUUGUCCUACGCGCGAGCAGUGAAUAAUCAUUCUUUAAUCAAGCCAAGAGUGUCCAAAAAAGGUAACCAAUUCCAAAUUAUCUCAUCCAUCCUCAUCUUAGGUAAUUACUUCAUAACCUACAAAUUAUUCCAUAUAAAUGGAGAUUAAUUGGCUAAUUAAUCCAUUAAUCACCAAUUGAAUCACCCAUUUUCACACAAAAAACCUCUAAGGGCCGGCCACCUCCAUUCUCUAUAUAUAUGACCCUAUUUUUUCUAAAAAAGAAGUUCCACACUCUUGCAAAACUCCAAAAAACUCUCCAAAUAUUUUUCUCUCUAAAUUCUAACUUUGGCAUCAAAUGUUCUUUGGCCAAAGCCCCCCCCCCCCCCCAAUUCAUCAUGGGCGUGUGAGGCUAUUGGCUUUGACCUAAGGUGUUAAUUGUUUUGUAGGUGCAAUUUUGUCCAAGAAGAAGGCGGAAAUUUGCAUCCACAAAUUGGUGCUUUCAUUGAGAGCUAAGUCCCACACUCGUAGAAGACUCUCGCAUCCAAGGUUUUCUAUUUUCUUGUCCAUUUGUAGAUUUUUCGUACGUUCUUAUUAUUAGAAUUUUUUAUUUGCAAAAAUUCUUUGAUAAAACGUAAAAGAGAAGUACAAUGGCUAGAAAUUUAGAAAAUUCAACAAAUGAAAAUUUUAACAUUCAAGAGAUGGGACCACGAUGAUCCAUGAGGCUAAAUGUGACAAUAGGUGGAGUGGCACCACCACCACGAGUUUCCACCACGGUGGUUCCCGUGGUGGCUACCAUGGUAGCCACCCACGGUCAGGUCCAUCGUGUCACCACCUCGGCCCAAGCCGUGCCAUCCAAGGUGACUCACGACACUAAGGCCACGGCCCAAGCCAUGUCACUCCAUGCCCAACGUGUUACCAAGUCGAGCCCAAGCCUCGCACAUGAGUGCAUCAUACGCCGAACAGCCCACUCCCGUGGCCCAUCCUGCUCCUGCCGAGCAGCCUAAUCUCGUGGCUCAGCUAGAUCUCGUGGCAUUCCAAGCAACCCAGAUCGGCCCAAGACUAUCUCAACCAUUCGGACCAAUCAUCGAGCCGGGGGUAUUUUCACCUGGUUUCUUCGUGGAUUUGACAUUUCCUAAUUUAAAUCUCGCGCCCGGAGCUUACCACACUUCCACUGCUCAAGGAGACAUAUUCUUUCCAAGCUCUUCUAAUCCAAAUGACGAACAACACUUGUCUCGACAAGUCAUAGAGUUAACGAGUGCCCUUGUACAACAGACAACCUUGGUGAAUCAACUCUUGCAACACAACGGGGUCUAACGUGCCCCAGACGAAGUGUCUCGAAGAAGGACAAGGACAGAUGAACCUUUCCACCAGCGUCCCGGCAAGCAGCCACUUGACCAGUCAUGAACUGAGCGUUCUAACAGAGUACACUCCCGACUGGACCCCCAAGAUAGCGUAUACUCAUGUCUUAACGCGUGGAGGAGUGUGCAUUCACAGUUAGUCCCACGGACAAACAUACACUCGCGGUUGGGGCCACACUCCGAUAAUCAGCAUGAGCAACCUUCUAGGUGAAAUGUUCAUUCGCGACAAGGCCCGCAAGGAGCAUCCUGCACCUCACAUCAGAGUAGGCAGCACAGCGGACGGAGAUAAGCAAUCAUUUAAUCCGGCUCAAGUUCAACCAACAACCUGCGAGUUACUCGCUCUCCUGCUAGAAACAUACCACACCGACCGCAUCCAUGACAUAGACGAGCCGAACACAUGGAAAAACAGCCUAGAUCAGCAGGUCAUGACCAGGGGCAGCUGAGGGCUCUGCCACUCCAACAAAGGCAAAUUCAGGAAGAAGUAGAAAUACUCAUGACCGAGCGAUUGCACAAUUUCCCGCACAAUGAAGCGAUUGACAAAGCGCUUCGAUGAGACAUGACCAACAUAAGCAAGUCAUCUUUCAAUGACAAGAUCAAGUAAACAUGACUACCUCAUAUAGAUUGCCAUAUAUAAAGACUUCUUAUGUUCUGACAAACACAACAGCUCAGCCUAAUGGCACGUCAGGGGUAGACGAGUACCAGAAUGACACACCAGCUCGACUACCAAGAACCGAGGGCAGACUUUAUUCUCAACACUCCAAAUAAUUCCUCCUGCUGCGCACAACCUGGCCCAAGCUAGCCCCAUCUCUGAUUUCACAACCACGCAUGCCUGUUCCACGGUUCUUGGCAGCCAUUGAUCUAUCACCAUGGCUCAUAAAUGUGCCAAUCUUGCAUUAUGGCUCCCAACCAUGCCGAUCUUGCCAUGUGGCUCAUGCCAACCAUGCCUUAAAAAGGCACACGACAAAACACCUAAUGAUGGCACAAUAAUUAUGAAAGUAGCUCAUUGCGCUUACACCUUUACGCAAGGUCCACAAGCAGUUUGAAGUCUUAAGCAGAUCGCUAAACAUGACCUCGCAGGCUAAGGAUUAUUUCGGUUAUCCCAGCAGUCCAGUUUUCCUCAGCUGCACUCAUGACAACGACUUCCAUGCUCUCCAGUGCGAGAGGGUAAACCAUUUCCCCGACACCCAUAUGGGUUUGCUCUCCAGUGCGAGAGGAUAAACUAAUUGCUCUGUGCGAUAGGGUAAACCAAUUCCCCGACACCUUUAUGGGUCUGCUCUCCAGUGUGAGAGGAUAAACUAAUUGCUCUCCAGUGUGAGAGGGUAAACCAAUUCCCCGACAUCCAAAAGGGUCUGCUCUCCAAUGCGAGAGGAUAAACUAAUUGCUCUCCAGUGCGAGAGGGUAAACCAAUUCCCCGACACCCAAAUGGGUCUGCUCUCCAGUACGAGAAGAUAUAUUAAUUGUUCUCCAGUGCGAGAAGGUAAACCAAUUCCCAGACACCUAUAUGGGUUUUCUCUCCAGUGCGAGAGGAUAAACUAAUUGCUCUCCAGUGCGAGAAGGUAAACCAAUUCCCCGACACCCAUAUGGGUUUGCUUUUCAAUGCGAGAGGGUAAACUAAUUGCUCUCCAGUACAAGAGGGUAAAACUAAUUGCUCUCCAUUGCGAGAGGGUAAACUAAAUCCCUGACACCCAUCUGGGUAAGCUCUCCAGUGUGAGAAGGCCACAUAGUUCAAAAGAUCGAAUGCUUGAAGAUCAACUAAGCAACAAAUGGUUAGGGGGCAGCAGCCACUUUUACACUUAACAUGUCUCUCAUCCGACACUUCAUCUUCAGCAACUCUGAUCUUGGCAACUUCAUCGUUGACUGCUCCAUCUAUGGUAGUUGAAAAAUCAAACUCAAGCAGUUUCCUCAUUUUUAGCAGACAGCCCAGACGUGGUAGCCUAAACAAUUGCCUAUUCCACGCCACUUCCUUAGCCUAUGCUGAACCAAUCAUUAACUUCAAUCAAGCCGAGCUACUCAAGCAAUGGCCCCUGCCACAUCACAUCCUUGGUCCAUGCCAAGCCGACUCUUGGCCCCUACCAGCCGACGUGCCGCACCACCCCGACGACUGCCCCGUGGCAGCACUACCCAAGAAGAAGACAAGAAGAAAUUAAGUUUUCAUUACAUUGGUGCGGCACGGAGAAGACAAAGAAAGCAACAAAAAACGGUCAUUUGCACGAGCAAGAUGUAGAAGAUUGCUAGAUGAGGGGGAACAAAUAUCCUCUAAGCUCUCUCUUUCUUGUAGGGUAGAAUAAAUCACUCUCCAAAGUUGAUUUAAUAACCCACUUAAGGUGGACUUAAAUAGGCUUUGAGAGAAAUUUAUUUCCUUUUCCUAGAAGGAUCUAAUUUCAUAUUAAAGAGGGAAUCUACAUCAAAACUGGAAGCAGUCAUAAGUUUCCAAGAGCAAGAAGAUCUCUACACCUGCUGCCCUUUCCUACAAGCAGCCCAGUAGGUGUGGGGGCAUUUGUGGAGAAAAAAAUAAUCACAAGGCGACACGUGGAUUUUUGGUAAAAAGGACAAAGUUACCCCUGAGACACAUCGGUUCUCCUACGCGCGAGCAGUGGACAAUCAUUCUUUAAUCAAGCAAGAAUGUCCAAAAAAGGUAACCAAUUCCAAAUUAUCUCAUCCAUCCUCAUCUUAGGUAAUUACUUCAUAACCUACAAAUUAUUCCAUAUAAAUGGAGAUCAAUUGGCUAAUUAAUCCAUUAAUCACCAAUUUUCACACAAAAACCCUCUAAGGGCCGGCCACCUCCAUUCCCUAUAUAUAUGACCCUAUUUUUUCUAAAAAAAAAGAAGUUUCACACUCUUGCAAAACUCCAAAAAACUCUCCAAAUACUUUUCUCUCUAAAUUCUAACUUUGGCAUCGGAGGUUCUUCGGCCAAAGCCCCCCCCCAAUUCAUCGUGGGCACGUGAGGCUAUUGGCCUUGACCUAAAGUGUUAAUUGUUUUGUAGGUGCAAUUUUGUCCAAGAAGAAGAAGGCAGAAAUUUGCAUCCACAACUAGCAUGUUAGAUUCUCGGUGCUACACAAAUGGAGAUAUUAAACUAAAACGUAUAUGCUGCUUUAUUCAUGUGACUUUUACUUUACUAAGGGUGUUGUUGGUUUACUCCAGUGAUAAUGGCCAACUAUGGGCAUGGUAGAGGUCUACGACUAAAAAACCUCAACCAUAAACGUAAACAAAAUUCAUCCCCCAAUUUCUUCCAUGUUCUCUUUCCCUUUUCCCCUUUAUUCUUUUUUUUUUCUUCCUCUUCUUCCAUUUGCACUAGGGUCAGCCCCGAGAAUUUAGGGCCCUAGGCAAGCUUUUUAAAUGGGGCCUUAGAGUUCUUUGACUCCCGACCCUUUGUACAUUGACAUGUGAAAAAAACGUAAAAAAAAAUUCACUAAAUACAUGCAAAGUCUAUUUCUACAUCAAAUAUCAUUAAAAAUUAAUAUCAAAAGAAGAAAUAUAUACAAACAUUACUCAAAUAUUAGUGUAAACGUAUGUGCUGCUUUAUUCAUGUGACAUUUACUUUACUCAGGGUGUUGUUGGUUUACUCCAGUGAUAAUGGCCAACUAUGGGCAUGGUAGAGGUCUACCACUAAAAAACCUCAACCACAAAUGUAAACCAAAUUCAUCCCCUAAUUUCUUCCAUGUUCUCUCUCCCUUUUCCCCUUAUUCUUUUUUCUUUCUUCCUCUUCUUCCAUUUGCACUAGGGUCGGCCCUGAGAAUUUAAGGCCCUAGGCGAGCUUUUGAAACGGGGCCCUAGAGUUCUUUGACUCCCAACCAUUUGUACAUUGACAUGUGUAAAAAAACGUAACAAAAAUUCACUAAAUACAUGAAAAGUCUAUUUUUACAUCAAACAUCAUUAAAAAUUAAUAUCAAAAGAAGAAAGAUAUACAAACAUUACUCAAAUAUUAGUGUAAACAUAUCUGCUACUGUAUUCAUGUGACUUUUACUUUACUCAGGGUGUUGUUGGUUUACUCUAGUGAUAAUGGCCAACUAUGGGCAUAAUAGAGGUCUACCACUAAAAAACCUCAACCACAAACGUAAACCAAAUUCAUCCCUCAAUUUCUUCCAAGUUCUCUCUCCCUUUUCCCUUAUUCUUUUUUUUUUAUUCCUCUUCUUCCAUUUGCACUAGGGUCAGCCCUGAGAAUUUAGGGCCCUAGGCGAGCUUUCGAAAUGGGGCCCUAGAGUUCUUUGACUCCCGACCCUUUGUACAUUAACAUGUGUAAAAAAACGUAAAAAAAAAAAUUCACUAAAUACAUGAAAAGUCUAUUUCUACAUCAAAUAUCAUUAAAAAUUAGGGUAAAAGACUUUUUACUUCCCUCAUGUUUCAUGGUUUUCAACAUUUAGUACAUCAAGUUUUUUUCGUCUCAGAGUCAUACCUAAAGUGUAAAUUUUGGGAUACAUCCGCUAGUCAAACUGUUAAAUUUGCCGUUAAUUGUGACGUGACGCCCAUGUGGACAAUGACUGGACGCCACGUGUCAGCCACGUUUUUUUUUCCUUUUCUUCUUCUUCUUCUUUUUCUUCUUCUUCUUCUUCUUCUUCUUCUUUUUCUUCUUCUUCUUCUUCUUCCUCCGACUGCAACUUUUUUUUUCUUCCUCUUUCUCCUUCUUCCUUCCUCCUUCCUUCCCCUUCUUCUCCUUCUUCCUUCUUCUUCAUUCUCCCUUCUUCCUUCUCAUUCUCCUUCUUCUUCCUCCGAAUCUGGGGAAGUUUUUUUUUUCUUCCUUCUCCUUCCUCCUUCUUCUUUCUUCCUUCUUCUUCCUCCGAAUCUGCCCAGAUUCGGUUUUUUUUUUUUCUUUUUUUUCCUCCUUCUUCCUCCUUCUUCCUUCCCCUUCUCCUUCUUCUUCUUCUUCCUUCUUCCUUCCUCUUCUUCUUCUUCUUUUUCUUCUUCCUCCGAAUCUGCCCAGAUUCGGCUUUUUUUUUUCUUCUUUUUUCUUCUUUCUUCUUCUUCCUCCGACUGCAACUUUUUUUCUUCUUCUUUCUCCUUCUUCCUCCUUCUUCCUUCUUUUUCUCCUUCUUCCUCCUUCUUCCUUCUUUUUCUCCUUCUUCCUUCCUCCUUCUUCCUUCCCAUUCUUCUCCUUCUUCCUUCUUCCUUCUUCUUCAUCUUCCUCAAAAAAAAAAAAAAAAACCUUCAUCUUCCCCAGAUUCGGAGGAAGAAGAAGGAAGAAGGAGGAAGUUCUUCUUCAUCUUCCUCAAAAAAAAAAAAAAAAAAAAAACCUUCAUCUUCCCCAGAUUCGGAGGAAGAAGAAGGAAGAAGGAGAAGAAUGGGAAGGAAGAAGGAGGAAGGGGGAAGGAAGAAGGAGAAGAAGAAGGAAGAAGGAAAAAAAAAACCGAAUCUGGGCAGAUUUGGAGGAAGAAGAAGAAAAAGAGGAAGGAAGAAGGAGGAAGGAGAAGGAAGGAGGAAGGAGGAAGGAGGAGGAAGAAGGAAAAAAAAAAAGAAACUUCCCCAGAUUCGAAGGAAGAAGAAGGAGAAGGAGAAGGGAGAAGGAAGAAGAAGGAAGAAUGAGAAGAAGGGGAAGGAAGAAGGAGGAAGGAAGAAGGAGAAGGGAGAAGGAAGAAGAAUGAAGAAGGAAGAAGGAGGGGAAGGAAGAAGGAGGAAGGAAGAAGGAGGAGGAAGAAGGAAAAAAAAAGUUGCAGUCGGAGGAAGAAGAAGAAAGAAGAAAGACAAAAAAAAAGAAAAAAAAACGUGGUUGACACGUGGCACCUAGUCAUUGUCCACAUGGGCGCCACGUCACAAUUAACGGCACAUUUAACAGUUUGACUAACGGAUGUAUGAGACUGUCCCAAAAUUUACACUUUAGGUAUGACUCUGAGACGAAAAAAACUUGAUGUACUAAAUGUUGAAAACCACGAAACAUGAGGGUAGUAAACAGUUUUUUACCCUAAAAAUUAACAUCAAAAGAAGAAAGAUAUACAAACAUUACUCAAAUAUUAAUGUAUUACCUGUCUCGCAUUUUUAGAUGCAAAUGCAUUUUAUUAAGUUUACAUAAUCUAAUUUUCAACCAAUUCAAACCGAAAGAGAAGUCCCUACCCAGUAUGCCAAAUUCCAAUCAUUUUUCUAUUGUUACAAUGUUACUUAUUACAUUCAAUAAAUGAAUGAAUGGUUGGAUUACAGAGACAACAUCUUACAACUAGGAAAAAUAAUAGAGUGAAGAUGAUAGUAAUUUUCAUAUACGCACCUAGGCGGCCGAAACGGAUUUGAAUAAUUUAUUAUAUAUUAUAUAAACUAAUUAAUUUGAACAUUUAAUAACAUCUUUUUUCAAAAAGGUAAGAGUUUUAGCCCUUUAGGUACAUAAUAAUGAUAUAAGUGGUGUGACCUUUAGGUACAUAAUAAUGAUAUAAGUGGUGUGAUCUUAAAAUAGGGUAAUAAAACCCCAUAAAAUAAACAUAAAGGUGAUAUUUAAGAGAGAAGUAAAAUAGUAAAAAUGUAACAUCCCACAUCGACCAAUGGAGAGGGGGUUAUGUGCCUUAUAUGUACAUGCCCACCUCCAUAUAGCAUCAGGCUUUUUGGGAACUCACUAGCUUCGGAUUCCAUCGGAAUUUCGAAGUUAAGCGAGUUUGGGCUAGAGCAAUCCUAGGAUGGGUGACCCACUGGGAAGUUUUCGUGUGAGUUCCCAGAAACAAAACCGUGAGGGUGUGGUCGGGGUCCAAAGUGGAUAAUAUCGUGCUAUGGCGAAGUCAAGACUGGGAUGUGACAUAAAAUAAGAUGGUGGGGACUAUUUAAAGGGGAGAAGACGUGCAGAUGUAUAUAAAAAAAAAGAUGGUGGGACCAACUUAAGUAAAAUCGUGCAAUUAAAAUGAUGUUGGGAAUAGGGUUGUCUUCUUCCUCACGCGAGGCCGACCCUGCAACAAAAGAUUUCCAAAUUCCGGCUUUUACAUAUAAGCAUGCAUAGCUCCCGCCCAUCCUUGUCCAGACCUGUCUAACUCUGCCUAAAAAUUGGGGGGCCUUCCAAAAUGGGGGCCCUAGGCGGGCGCCUAUUUGGCUACCCUUAGGGCCAGCUCUUCGCACUCCCCCAUUUUCCCCAAAUUCAUCAUUUUUUCCUCCCUUUUUCCACCCACUCCUCUCGAGGAUAAUCGUUCACUCUUCUUUUAUUUAUUAAUUAUUUCUUUUAUCUUUUAGUUAUUUCACUCAUUGAAAUCAUAAGAUGACAUUUUUUCAGGCACCAAAAAAAUCCACAAACCCAAAAUCACAAAAAUAUCUAAUCUAAAACAUCGGACCACAUAUUGUCACGUACAAAAGGAUGAAUAACAAAUCCAAAAGAAAAAAAAUUUAUAAACAAACUAAAACAUCAAAUCGGUGAAGAUUGUACCUUGAAAAAGGUAGACGCACAAAGCUCUUCAAGACUAUUCCCAAUUCUGAUGUCGGAGACUAAAAUAGAGUCUGAUUGUAAAGGGUCACUGGCAUAAAAGUUAUUCGAAUUAGAACAUAAUUUAGGUAUAUUGUUUAUCGUAAAAAAGAAAGACCAACAUUAAUUUUAGGUAUAUUGUGGAGAAAUACUAAAUAUUUAUCGAGCAUGACAAAUAACAGUUGUACAAAUACUUUUGAUGUACCAAAAAAAUUUGGACUUUAAAUUUUAUAUUUGAGUUUGAAUAUGAGUCAAAAUUUAUUUAUGAGUUUUCAACUAAAGUGAGAUCCGAAUUUAGGUUUGCAUACGAGAUUUAAUUCUAAAGUGGAGCUCAUGCAACAAAGAAAAAUGUUAUUCAACCAAAACCAAGAAAAAUAAGAUUUAAGUUUUGGCUCCAAGUCUACAACCAUCUCCAUGUUGGAUAUAAGUCCCACAUCGGGAAUUGAGAAAAUAAAAUACAAUAUAUAAGCAUAUAAUUCUAGCCAUAAUAACAUCAAAGGCCUUUUGUGAUAGAACUCAACACCUAACAAUAGGUUGUUAAGUUGGGAGAAUAUAGGUGUGGUUAGGAGUGGACCAAUGGUCCAUCUCUCCAAAGACCUAACAUGGAAGAACGGGUUUGAUUAUGGGUCAUGUGGGUCCGUGUUGUGCUCAAGUUACCGAGUUCAAUGUAACAUCAUGCUUUCACGCCUAAUCUCCGAUGUGAGAUUGGUUGCACAUGUGGCUCACUAUAUGGUAGCCAUAUGAUGGUCUCCCAUGAACGGGCGUGUUAAAUAUGAGGCCACAUUGGGAAAUUUAGAAAAUAAAAUAAAAUAUAUGUGUAUAGUUCCACUCCUAAUACACUAAGGUAUUUUGUGAUAAACUAAACACCUAACAAUAUGUGGUUAACUUGGAACAAUAUCAAUGUGAUUAAGAGUGAGACAAUAACGUCUCUCUAAAUAUCUCACACUGCAUUUCCGAAGUCUUCUUCUCCAACGCAUAGAUUCGAACCAUAAAACUCAAAAUAAGUUUAAAGACUUGUGUUUGUGCAUUGAAAGAAAAUCAGAAAAACUCAAACCUACCACUAUUUUUUUACUCAAAUAUUAGAAUAUAUGUCUAGUAUUAGUAAUAUAUAGUUUUGUAUCAGAGACGACCUAAUAAAUAGAUGACAUGAAUGGUAUGUGGCCUAUUUUUCAAAUGACGUAGAAACUGCAUUUGCACCACAUAAACAAAAAAUAAUCGUCAUUAAGUUUUGACUUCUCAUAAAUUUAUAUUUUGUAUCCCAAAUGAUAACCCACUGCAUAGUUUGACAGCAAUGCUGCAAAUAUGACCUUCUAUACAGCCUAUAAACGAGUUUCAUAUCUGUCGCUUGAUCAAUUAUAAGUAAGAUUCAAAUAAUCAAACAAACAUAAAGCAUAGAUGAUAAUUAUUUUUUCUUUUUUGAACAAAUGAUACAAUCUAACUCCGCGGCUCCGCCUGUGUAAGUUUAUCUUACAUUGCCGGUCCCAAGCCCGGAUAAAGGAGGAGGGGGAGGGCGUCAGGUAGUUGACAGCCGACACUCCUAGUUUACGUCGAAUCCUUAUGAAAAUGAAUUCAGAAUAAAAUCGCGCUAAAGCUAGGGCGUCACCCGUAAGUGACACGCUAUGUGGCCCGAGCACAGUGAUAAGUGAGCAAGGGUCGCUGUAUCUCCAUCGGCACCCGGAUGCAGUGUUAAAUGAGCAAGGGGCCAUAGAAACUUCUUUUCGAACGACUCCAUUCAAAGUUGUUUGGGAGCAUAUGCUCCUAUCAACUUUACAUAGGACACACAAAAGAAGUAUUUUGAUCCUAUUAGACGGGGGAGGUUGAAGAAGCUAGGACAGAAGGGUAGAGUUCAAGAGAAUAGAAUGCGUUUAGGAACGCGGAAUAUAGGAACCCUAACGGGAAAAUCUAUGGAAGUAGUGGAAGUUAUGGUGAGGAGAAGGAUAAAUAUUAUGUGCCUACAAGAAACUAAGUGGGUUGGUUUUAAGGCAAAGGAUCUAGAAAACUCAGGGUUUAAACUUUGGUAUUCGGGCACAAAUAGAACGAGAAACGGUGUUGGCAUCAUCGUGGACAAGACCAUGACACAAGAUGUUGUAGAUGUCAAGAGGGUAGGAGAUAGAAUCAUGGCAGUCAAGAUUGUAAUAGGACAAGAACUCAUCAAUGUGAUUAGUGCGUACGCACCUCAAGUAGGGUUGGAUACAAGUUCGAAUGAGAAAUUUUGGGAAGACCUUGGAGACUUGGUGCAAGGAAUUGCUCAGACGGAGAAGUUAUUUAUACGAGGAGAUUUAAAUAGACACGUGGGCAAGGAGACAGGCAACUAUGGAGGUUUUCAUGGUGGCCAUGGUUUUGGGGAGAGAAACGAGGAUGGGGAAGCUAUCUUGGAUUUUGCAAUGGCAUAUGAUCUCUUCUUAGCCAACACCUUCUUGAAGAAGAGAGAAGAACAUGUGAUCACAAACAAGAGUGGGUCGUCAAAAACACAAAUAGAUUUUCUUCUAAUGAGGAAAAGGGAUCGUAUAACUUGUAAAGAUUGCAAAGUUAUACCGAGAGAAAGCUUGGCUAAUCAACAUCGCUUGUUGGUGAUGAAUGUACAUAUCAAAAGAGUGAGAAAAAAGAACAAGACUUGGAAGUGCCCAAGGACUAGAUGGUGGAAUCUAAAAGGAGAAAAACAAGCCAUUUUCAAAGAGAAAGUAAUCACUCAAUGUGUGUGGGAUAGAGAGGGAGAAGCUAGCCAAAGGUGGGAUUCCAUGGCUAGUUGUAUCCGAAAAGUAGCAAAAGAGGUAUUAGGAGAGUCCAAGGGCUUUGCUCCACACCAAAAGGAAUCUUGGUGGUGGAAUGAUGAGGUACAAACAAAGGUGAAGGCUAAGAAGGAAUAUUGUAAAGCCUUAUACAAGGAUAGGACCGAUGAAAAUGGUGAAAGGUAUAGAAGAGCGAAGCAAGAGGCGAAGAAAGCUGUGAGAGAAGCUAAGUUAAUGGCUUAUGACGAUAUGUAUAAGCAACUAGAUACCAAAGAAGGACAGUUGGAUAUCUAUAAACUAGCUAGAGCAAGGGAAAAGAAGACAAUGGACCUAAACCAAGUGAGGUGCAUCAAGGAUGAGGAUGGAAAAGUUUUUGCUACAAAGAACGCGGUCAAAGACAGAUGGAGAGGUUAUUUUCAUAAUCUUUUCAAUGAAGGACAUGAAAGGAGUACUUCUUUAGAAGAGUUGAGUAACUCAGAAGAGUGUAGAAACUACUCAUUUUAUCGUCGAAUCAGGAAGGAAGAAGUGGUUGUAGCUUUGAAGAAGAUGAAGCAUAGAAAAGCAGUAGGCCCAGAUGAUAUACCAAUCGAAGUGUGGAAAGUCUUGGGAGAGACAGGUAUAUCAUGGCUCACUGACAUUUUCAAUAGGAUUUUGAAAACGAAGAAGAUGCCAAAUGAGUGGCGAAAGAGCACUUUGUUGCCUAUCUACAAGAAUAAGGGCGACGUACAAAAUUGCAUGAACUAUAGGGGUAUUAAGCUAAUAAGUCAUACAAUGAAGCUUUGGGAGAGAGUCAUUGAGCAUAGAUUGAGGCAAGAGACACGGGUUUCGAACAACCAAUUCGGGUUCAUGCCAGGACACUCAACCAUGGAGGCAAUUUAUCUCUUACGAAGAUUGAUGGAAAGAUAUAGAGAGGGGAAAAAGGAUUUACACAUGGUCUUUAUAGAUUUGGAAAAAGCGUAUGAUAGGGUCCCAAGAGACAUUAUCUGGAAGAUUUUGGAGAAGAAAGGAGUACGAGUAGCAUAUAUCCAAGCUAUAAAAGAUAUGUAUGAAGGAGCAAAGACUGCCGUAAGAACUCAUGAAGGACAAACUGAAAGUUUCCCCAUAACUAUAGGAGUACAUCAAGGCUCAUCCUUAAAUCCUUACCUUUUUGCGUUGGUAAUGGAUGAGUUAACAUGACAUAUUCAAGAUGAUAUUCCUUGGUGUAUGCUUUUCGUAAACGAUAUAGUGUUAAUAGAUGAAACUCAGAAAGGGGUAAAUGUGAAGCUUAACCUUUGGAGAGAAGUGUUGGAAUCUAAAGGUCUUCGCCUAAACCGAUCAAAGACAGAAUAUAUGGAGUGCAAGUUCAGUGCAAAUGGAAGCCAAAAUGAGUUAGGGGUGAGGAUUGGAGAUCAGGAAAUACCAAAGAGCGACUGCUUUCACUACCUAAGAUCUAUCUUGCUAAAGAAUGGAGAAUUAGAUGGAGAUCUCAACCAUAGAAUACAAGCUGGAUGGAUGAAGUGGAAGAGUGCAUCCGGCGUGUUGUGUGACCGCCGUAUGCCACUGAAGCUCAAGGGAAAAUUUUAUAGGACGGCAAUAAGGUCAGCGAUGCUGUAUGGCACAGAAUGUUGAGCGGUGAAGCAUCAACACGUACACAAAAUGGGUGUAGCGGAGAUGAGGAUGCUUCGUUGGAUGUGUGGGCACACGAGAAAGGAUAAGAUUAGGAAUGAGGAUAUCCGAGGUAAAGUAGGAGUAGCCGAAAUUGUAGGAAAGCUGAGAGAAAAUCGGUUACGGUGGUUUGGACAUGUGCAAAGAAGGCCUACUGACGUUCCGGUUAGAAGAUGCGACUACGGGAUAGAGGUUCAGGGCCGAAGGGGUAGAGGAAGACCUAUGAAAAUUUUGGAAGAGACUCUAAGAAAAGACUUAGAGUACUUGGAUCUAACGGAGGACAUGACACAAGACCGAGCACAAUGGUGUUCUAAGAUUCAUAUAGCCGACCCUACUCAGUGACUUGGAUUUUUCAAGUCUCCAAUUGAGAAGUUUUCCUCACUCGAGAAAUUAAGGGAACACUACCUCAACCUACAUGCUUCACUCACAAAGCUUCAACAUACAAGCUUCAACAAAAGAAAAAUUCAAAGAACUUAGUGAAGAAGGCUUUGGUGUAUUUAACACAAUACGUUGAAAUAAAGCAAAGCUUAUUUAUUGAUAUCUCCGAUAAGUUACAAAUAUGUACAUAUACAUGAGUCAAAAUAAACAAAUAAGAGAGGGCCUUCACAAAGGUUGCUUAGAAGAAGUCUCAGCAGUCGGUAGAGCCCCAGAAAGAGAAGGCACCGGAGGAUGAUCACUUAGAGCCUCAGUACUGGACAAAACCCUAAAAGGAAGAGGCAUCGGAGGCUGAUCAUUUAGAGCUUCAUUACGCAGUACAGCCCCAGAAGACGAAGGCAAUAAAUGUCUUUGGAACAAACCCACAAACCUCUGAUGAUCAAGUAAAAUCUGAUCAUCAGAUUCCUUCACCUGGCCAAGCUUCCUCUUCAUGUUUGUAGCAUAGUCAUGUGCGAGCCUGUGCAACUGUUUAUUCUCAUGCUUGAGCCCUCUAAUCUCCUGCUUAAGGGCUCGUUUGGAUGUGCUACUCUAUAAAGCGCUUUUACUCACUAGCGCUUUUUGUUUGUAGCACUUUUCAAUAGUGCUUCUAUGAGGAAGUAGUUUGUUGUUUGGCAUGCAACCAACUAAGCGAUUUUGUAUUGGAUAGAAGCGUUUUUUAUAUUAAAUAGAGUGUUUGGUUGUCAAAUGAAAAAGCGCUUUCAUUAAUAAUUCUCAAUAAUUUUUGCAUAAGUAUUUUUUGUAUAUAAUUAGCAUACAAUUUGAUUAAGAGUUGAUGAAAAUUCAAUUACAAAAAAUAAUGAUCACUAACAAAAUUAUACAUACUUAUUGAGAAUAUGUGUUUGUUUCUUGAAAACAAAAUGAUACGUUAUAGUUGCAUGACAAUCAAAUGUGACAUAAGCAUUAACUAGAUAUAAGAAGAUUAGCAAUCCUUUCUCGUUCAACAUCCAUCUCUCGCCUAUGAGUAAAAUUUUCAUCAACAAUUUCUUCAUCUCUAUGAUCUUCCUCAUGUCCAGGUGGAAGUAGCUCAUCAUCAUCAUCAUAAGGUUGGAACUCUUAAUCUGUCAUGGAAUGCUUCCUAAUAAAAUUGUGUAAGGCCAUUGAAGCAACAACAAUUUGUACCUGUUUUUCAAAAUGGAAGUUACGCAUAAGACGAAUCAUUGUCCAUCUAUUUUUCCAAACACCAAAAGUUCUUUCUAUUGUGCAUCUUAGGGAUGAAUGUCUCUGAUUAAAUAUCUCUUUUUUCCCUCUUGGCUGACUUCCACGUCGAAAUUCAAGAAGAUGAUAUCGUUCACCCUUAUAAGGUCCAAUAUAUCCAUUCAUAUGUGGAUAUCCAGCAUCAACUAAAUAAUAUUUGCCUACACCAUAAUUGAAAAGAAAAAUAUAAAGAUUUUUGCGUUCUUAAGAUAAAAAAUAAAUAAACACAUUCAUAUAAGACUAAGGUUGAUUACUAACCAGAAGGGGGAUAAGGAAAUUUCAAUUCUAGUCUUCUCAAGGCCUCCAUGAAUAUACGUGAAUCAUGAGCAGCACCCUCCCAUCCAGCCCAGACAAAUGUGAAACACAUAUUAAAAUCACGUACAACCAUAACAUUUUGAGUUGUAUUUCCUUUUCUACCUAUAUAUGGCACUUGCAUUUCUCUAGGUACCACAACUGGGACAUGUGUUCUGUCAAUUGCCCCUAUGCAACCGUUAAAAUAUGGCCAAUACUGAUUGUCAUCCUUAAUUUUAUUUGAUACUCUCUUGAAUUGCCGAUCAUGUGGACAUAUAAUAUCAGUAGCCAUGCGAGAAACAACAUCUAAUAGUAUCCCAAACCACCUAGAAACAGUUUCUCCAGAGUGUUGAAACGUUUCUUGGACCAUCCUAUUAGUGUGCCCAUGACCUAAUGUGUUUAGAAACAUUGCUAAUGCUUCUUCUAGGGUUAUAUCUCCAAAUCUUUUUAAGCCAUAAUCACGCUUCCAAGUCUCUAACAAGUCCUUAAAAACAUGUUGUUCCAUCCUAAAUUGUUCAUGGCAUCUUAUAGGAUGACCAUUUAAAACUUCCAUUACCCAUCUAUAUCCCGUAUACGAAGAAGUCCUACAAGGUUCUUUGUCAACAUACUUUAACCAUUCAGAGACAGCCGUGACACAGCUUGCAGAAACCAGUUGAUAAUUCAUCAUCACUUCCAUCAGUAGAGUUGUUUGUAUUGCUACUAUCACUGCUGCUAGAACUCAUAGCUGUAAACACAAAAGAAAAUUUUAAUAUGAGAGGAAUAUAUAAUCAUGGAAAAAAUAAAGAUCACAUUCUGAAUAAAGUUCUAAAAAAAUCAUAUAAUUAAAGAUAUUAGAGGCACACAUGUUUAACCAAUCCAUUACAUAAUAAAUACUUAUUCAACCACCAAAAAAAAAAACAUGUUGAAAAAUAUAAUCCUAAGAUAAAUGUGAUGAAUCAAAUUUUCUUGCUCUUGAGCCACAUGAUUUGUCGGUUAGAUUGCUUCAAUGCAACAAACAUCUCUCUAUUUUUUCUUUCAGUGAAGAUAUCAGCCGCUUUCAUAAAGAGCUCAUCAUCAUUCACAACUUCAUGCAUUCCUUCCAACAUUUGCAUCACUUCCUCAAUGCUACAACCAGGCUUAUCUGUGCUCUUAGAACGGUUGUUUACAGCUUCUAAAAUACCAUCUAAUUGUUUUAUCAUCUUGGCCCCAAUUCCAACUCUUUUAGAAUCUCUUGUUCUUUUUGUUCAUUUUCCUUGUGUUGAAGGUUGAGCAGGGGAAGGUGUCUCAGCAUCGGCUAUGUCGUCAAGCCCCUCAUUAUUAUCUAUGUCAUUCUCCAAAUCAUCUUGACCGUCAUUUUGUUCGCAUGUUGGAGCUUUUUGGACAUUAUUACUCAUCAACCCUUGUGAGGGUGGUCAUGCACCUACACCUGUAACAGCUCCUUCUUUAAACAAAAUGUCCAGUUGGUCAACAUUUUUCAAUCCACUAUUUCGAUAUUUUGCAACUUCAGAAUUCUCCUGAAAUAUGACCAACUGCAAUUAACAAAUUAUGAUAAAAGAACGUAAAUAUGAAGUUAGAUUUCCAUGGAUAUGAGAUAAUAAUUUCUCACCUUCACUUUUUUCUCCCACCACUCAUCACUUGCAAUGAUAGUUUGCUUCACAAGAUCCCAUCCUAAGCCAGUCUCUUUUCCAACUAAUGAUGCCCACAAUUGCCAUUCUUUCUUAAGUGCAGUCCAUUUGUUCUUGAGUUGUUUAUGAACAUAUGACCUUUGAGUAAGGUCAUUAAAUUUUUUAAUAACAUUUUUCCAUCCAAUUCUAAUAAGAUGACCACCUGUUUGAUUUCUAGCUAAUGUCUCAGCUACACAAACACUUAUAAAUAUCUCAACACUUGCAUCAUCCCACAUUGCCUUGCUCUUUUUUUCGUUACCUUCUCCACGAUCUUGCAUAUCUUUAACUAUAUUCUUAGACAUAUCUAUAAAGAGAAGUUGAAAAAAAACCAUAGCACAUAAGAAGAGCAUAUACCACUACUUACGUCCUAGCUAACAACACAAAAGUAAAUUAAAAGCAAUAAUGCAAGAUUUGUAACUAGUAUUUGUUAUAUAUAAUAAUGCAGUACACCGUUGCUUCCAAAACUGCAGUGCGUAUGUAUUUGUUAUAUAUAAUAAUGCAGUACACCGUGGUUAUAUAUAAUAAUGCAGUACACCAUUGCAUAUGUAUCUAUUUGUUAUAUAUAAUAAUGCAGUACACCGUUGUUAUAUAUAAUAAUGCAGUACACCAUUGCAUAUGUAUCUAGUAUUUGUAUAUAUAAUGCAGGAUAUGUAACCAUUAACAAUAAAUUCAUUAGUGUUGCUUUCUGUUGUCAUUGGAAGUUAAUUUGCUAUUAGUAGUAUCUACAAUCGUUAAUACGACAUCAAAUCUCGGCAUCAAAUCUGCAAGUUAUUGUUCAUCGUCGGUCUUUCAGCGUUCGAAUGCUUGGUUUCAUUCAUGAUAUGAUGGUGUCCAUGUAAUACGUACAACAUGAACGUUCUGUGUCACACGCAUCUACUUACAUGGGAUGGGAUGUGCAAAGUCAUGAAUCGUCAACCUCAAGGGCAUCAGAGAAUGAAUCAGGAAAAUUAGAAAUAUCGUGAAAAAAAUGCAGAAAAUACCAUUGGAAUGUCAAUGAACGAUCACUAAACCCUAAAAUUAUUUUCGUGUAGUUCAAAAAUCACAACAAUUUUGAUAAAAAUAACAUAUCAACAAUCAAAUUCACACACUACAUACAAAUUUUAAGAUAAGAAAUAGCAAACAUACCUCCACAAGAAUUUUAGGUGAUGGAGAUGCAAAGAGAUUUGGGGAAGAUGGAGAGGAAGAGAUGGAGACCAAGAUGACUUCUCCAGCCACCAAAAUAUUAUGAAAAUAAAAGACUUCUAGGUUUUUAACGUGCAAACCUAGAAAAAAUUGGUGAUGUCAAUUUUGAUGUUUUUUUCAAGUGUAAUGGCAUUUUAGACUUUGCAAAUUAAAAAAUAGGGAUAAUUCGGGAAUUGAAAAAAAUUCAUUAAAGGGAGCAAAGUGCUUCCCUUGUUUUCUCUGCAUAGCACUUUUAGGAGGAAGCACCUCCUAGGUGCUUUUUAGAAAAUGCUUAUUAGUGCUUCUACUUCUAACUAAAAGCACUUUUAAAAUAUUUUCCAAACGACCAUUUUUUAAAACUAAAGCGCUUUUACUCAUUAGGAAGAGCUUUUGACUCUUUCAAAAACACAACCAAACGAGCCAUAAGACUCAUCACUUCAGCCGCCAAUGAUUCAACUUGGUGGGUUCGAGCAAAUAGGCGUUGGGCCAUAUUCGACAUAGAACCUUCACAUUGAACAUUGAGAGCCAGAAAAUCCUUAACAGCCAACUCAUCAGACUGUUUGGAAAGAAGUCUGUUAUCUUUGGGAGUGAGAAUGUUCCUAGCCACCACCGCAGCGGUUAUAUCAUUCUUCAUCACGGAAUCCCUAACGGUAAGAGAAUCAGUAGGGGAUAAGAAGGAUGGGCGCCAUAUGUUGUCUGGAGAAGGCGCGGCUGCCUCUUUACCAAGGUUCAAGUCAAAACGAAGGUCGGAAGGGCCAGACAUUUUCAAAGGUGUUGAAGAGAGAAGAGGUCGAACAAAUCAAGAUCUUAGAAGUGCAAGAAAUGAGCUUCUACUGGUGGAGAUUCAAGUGUGCUUUGGAACUUAAUGUCAGCCUCUAUAAAAAUCUGCACUCGACGGAGCUUCAAAAAUCGAAGAAGUGCCUGCUCAAAAAUCGAAUAGGCGUUUGCUUUCUCAAAAGCUGGGCUGCUCAGAGACCACGAUGAACUAUCUUAAAGAUCGAAGAGGCGUUUACUUUCUCAAAAGCUGGGCUGCUCAAAGACCACAAUGGCUGAUCUCAAAAAUCGAAGAAGCGCUUGCUUUCUCAAAAGCUGGGCUGCUCAUAGACCACGAGGGCCGAUCUCAGAAAUCGAAGAGGCACCUAUUUUCUCAGCCUUGUCAGCACUUGUCACAUGCACACUCAGCUUUGCGGAAAUUACGGGCAAUCUGUCGAAGAUUUCUGGUGAAGUAGAAAGCACGUGAAUCUUACUUUUCAAUCAUCCACUUUCCACACGCAACAUCAGCUCAUGGGUACCACAAAUAACUUUGCCAAAGAUCUCUGACAAAGUUUAGACACGUGAAGCUUGCAGCUCCCACUACAUCGCUAUGACCAAGAAAGGUAAAAGAAUAGCAAAGAAACAGCACUAACAAAGUUUAGACACAUAAAUUUUGAAGGUUUAGAUACCAUAUUAUUACCCAUAAGGGUAAAGGAACAGUACCACUGCUGGAUAAUUGGAAAGUCCCUAUGUCUCAACCUCUGUGCUCCGUGGCAAGGUAGACUAGCAAAAAUGCCCAACCUUUACUCACAUUCCAGAAAACACUCCCAACAAGAUUGCUUGCUCCAAAUUCGAAGAGGCACCGCCCUCCGAAUCUCGAGAGCCGAGCCAGACUCCCAGCAGGAUUGCUUUCUCAAAAAUCGAAGAGGCACCGUUCUUCGAAUCUCGAGAGCCAGAUCCCCGAAAGGAUCGCUUGUUUGAAAACCGAAGAGGCAUCGCUUUCUCAACUUCGAAAGCCAGAUCUCCUUGGAUAAAGCUUGUCUGUAAUCUUCACACGCAACAUCAGCUUUCCAGAUACCAUAGACCACUUUUUCAAAGUGCUCUAACAGAGUUAAAACACGUGAAGUGGGCAACUCCCACUACAGUACUAUGACCAAGAAGGGUAAAGGAAUAGCAUUACUACUUGUUGUUACGGAGACUCCUAUAUAUGUCGACCUCCAUCCUCAACGGACAGGCAGACCUGUAAAAAUGCUCAACCCUUCCUCAUAUCUGAGAGGGCACUCCCAACGAAGCCUCUCGAAAUACUCAGUUUUCUUUCCCCCCGAUAAUACCUCUGCAAACAAGCUACACCAGAGCAAGAAUAUCUCAUAUCAUCAGGGUUAAAAGCAAGAGUAUCUCAUAUCAUGCUUUUUCCCUGUCUUUUCCUUUGGCCUUGUUCUUACCUACAAGACAAUGAGAAAAAGAGCAAUCAGUCAGCACUUGGAAUCAAGCUUCCAAUCAGGAACUGACUGCCUGGAACCCCUUACCUGAUUACUUACCUGGCAUUACUCUCGAGUACUCAUCUUCAACAUCUUAUGCUUCCAGAGAAGAUACCACAUAUGCCGGAGGAACAAAUAGGGCCAAUGAGAAUGAUAAAAGGAAGCAUGUGGAGACAAGCGUAACAGAACACGUGCCAAUACUUCCACUACUUUGUCAACAACAAAAGUAUCCCAUAUCAGCAGGGUCGAACGUACUCUAGAUUUGAUGGACUUGUUUUGACCCUCAAAUUCUUCAGUCAGCCUUAUACUCUGGAGGUAACCAAAAAACCCUCCAGCCCAGUUCAAGAAAAAGCCUGUGGAAAGCUAUUUCUUCAAAAGCAAAAGUAUCUCAUAUCAUAUCUUUUCCUUUUCUUCUCUUUAUCCUUCAUGUUACCAGCAAGAUAAGGAGAAUGAGAACAAUCAGCCGGAACUCGAAAUCAAACUUCUAAUCUGGGACUGAUUGCUUGGAGCUCUGAUUGCUUACCUUGUCUGUCACCUCUUUCAGCAGAUCCCCUAGCUCUGCGACUUGGGGGACUCCUACUACAUGGUUUGUAUCGCGCUUGACCACGCCUGAAAUUACAAGUAAGCUUCAAGUGAAAUUGAUACAUUACCUUAUGCAUCUCCACCAGUUAAAGAUACCACCCCUGGACGGAGGAAGAGUACUUCCAGAGAAGAUGACACAUCUACCUAUGAGACAAAUAAGGCAAGUGAAGACGAUACCACACUUCGGUACUUAGAAGUUUCGUGAUUACUCAGCGGCUUGGAUCUUGCAAGUCCCCAACCAAGGAGCUUCCUCUCCAACCAAGAGGCCAAUCACAGAUGACACGUGUCGACAUCAGAAGCCAAUCAUAGCGCGACACAUGUCAACAUCGGAAGCCAAUCACAACAUAACACGUGUCAAUGUCAAAACAAGGCUAGAAACUCUCUUCUAUAAAAGGAGAUCAUUCUCCCAAAAUAUUUCCUAAUGCCAUUUGUACUAAAUCAUUCACUUGUACCCACUAAAAGAGAGCUUGAACCUAUAUACUUGUGUAAACCCUUCACAAUUAAUGAGAAAUCCUCUACUUCGUGAACGUAGCCAAUCUGGGUGAACCACGUACAUCUUGUGUUUGCUCUCCUGUCUUUAUCCUUUUACAUACUUAUCCACACUAAUGACCAGAGCAAUCCAGCGAAGGUCACAAACUUAAUACUUUCUGUUGUACCAAAGUCCUCACUGAUUUUGUGCAUCAACAAUCCUUAAGUCCUUACCUUUUUGCAUUGGUAAUGGAUGAGUUAACAGGACAUAUUCAAGAUGUUAUUCCUCGGUGUAUGCUUUACGCAGACGAUAUAGGGUUGAUAGAUGAAACUCAGGAAGGGGUAAAUGCGAAGCUUAACCUUUGGAGAGAAGUGUUGGAAUUUAAAGGUUUUCGCCUAAGCCGAUCAAAGACAGAAUAUAUGGAAUACAAGCGGGAUGAAUGAAGUGGAAGAGUGCAUCCGGCGUGUUGUGUAACCGUUGUAUGCCACUGAAGCUCAAGGGAAAAUUUUAUAGGACGGCAAUAAGGUCGGCGAUGCUGUAUGGCACAGAAUGUUGGGCGGUGAAUCAUCAACACGUACACAAAAUGGGUGUAGCGGAGAUGAGGAUGCUUCAUUGGAGGUGUGGGCUCACGAGAAAGGAUAAGAUUAGGAAUGAGUGGGUUGGACAUGUGCAAAGAAGGCCUGCUGACGCUCCAGUUCGAAGAUGUGACUAUGGGACAGAGGUUCAGGGCCGAAGGGGUAGAGGAAGACCUAGGAAAACUUUGGAAGAGACCCUAAGAAAAGACAUAGAGUACUUGGAUCUAACGAAUGACAUGACACAAAACCGAGCGCAAUGGCGUUCUAGGAUUCACAUAGCCGACCCCACUUAGUGGGAAAAGACUUUGUUGUUGUUUGAACAAAUGAUACAAUCUAUACUAAGCCGGGUGGAUUUCAUCUCACUAUAGGCUAGCAAUAAUAUGGUUCAAAUUCGUCUUUGGCGAAAAUCAAAAUUAAGACCUCUCAUUUACAAGUGAAGAGAAAUAUCACUAGACUGUAAUAUGAAGUGGCAACAUAAAUGAUAAGUUCACAAAAUUUUAAGAGUGGAAUGACAAAAUUAACACCUCAUAACCUAUUCGAAAACUACUCUAAAUGCAAGGGGAGGAAAAUAUAAACUUUUGUAAUAGAGUUAGGAGCAUGGACAAUGCAAAUGAGAUCGUACAAGAUUCCGUUUUUGGUUUAUGGAGAUUGUGGAAGAACAAAAAUGAAGCCGUGUUUCAUGGAGUGCACUGACAUCCGAUGGAGAUUUUGGAGGUCUGGAAGAAGAACAUUGGGGAAUUUUGAGGAGCGAAGCUACAGGUGGCUGCCCCUUCGUGCAGGUUUGGCGCGGCGGUGAGGGAGGUAGCGAAAGGACAAAAGGUGGCGUGGCAGAAACCGGAGUUCGCGACUGUUAAGGUUUAUACCGAUGCGGCAUGGUGCAAAGUGUCAUUGCGAGGGAGUGGGCGGGAGGCUCAGGUGAUGUGCAUUUUUCAAGUGCAGCAACGGCUGAAGCUGCGGCCAUUCGGGAAGCAAUGGAAUUUUGCAUUGAGAGAUGGGAUAUGAUGAAGUCAUUUUUGAGUCUGAUGCAAAGAAUGUUGUACAGAUGAUCAACAAGGAGUGUGACCCUGACUUUGCUUUGGAGUGCAUUAUCCCGAUCGACCAACACUCCUCUUGAAGGUCUUUGGUGGUUCUGUAGGCUUUGUCUUCGGAACCAUCUUGGUGCGGCCAUUGAGGUUGGGACAACUUCACGCAUGGCCAAAUGGCUCGUUUAAAGUUGUUUAUGUCGUUUAAAGUUGUUUAUGUACUCGGCACGUAAACGUUUUCGCUAAAAAAUGCUUUGUUGAUAUUAAAAUGCUUCCUGAAAAAAGCACUUCAAGGUGCUCCUGAAGAAGCAUCUACUCUCCAUAAAGUGCUUCCAACAUUUUGAAAAAAACUUGUCAUUUUCGAUUUUCUUUGGGAACCCAAAAGAGCAGGAAAAAAAAAACAGUAUGCAGGAAUGAAGUACCCCAUGAUUUCAAGCAUAUGGGAAACCCAGAAAUAAUAAUUAACCAGUAGACUUGGGAAACAACCUGCCUCUGUACUGCAUCUUCAAGCAGGGAUACCUUGUACACUACUUCAAACACCUAUAUACUACCAACGCUCCUCACAACCAGCCUUAUUUUGCCGAAUCACAAGUCAAUCACAAGUCGUGUCAAACAGAUUUUUUCGUUUCAAAAGCGAAUGGGAUUCAUAACCAGCGACACUGGAUAGGAGACGGCUGCUGAAACAAAGGUUGCUGAAUGGGAGGUUGCUGAAGCGGAGGCUGUUGCUGGCUAACUUCCUGGCUAGAAUUCUGACCAAUUUUCAGUGUCUUGAAUAUUUUUCUCCAUUUUCUAUAUAGCUCUUCUUCAUCCGUGGCAUAACAAUGAUUAAAGGUCCAAUGUACACAUGGCGCCGGCGAGUCACAGACAUAACAAUGACACUGCAUUUUAGAAGGAAAAAGAAAAAAAAAAAAAAGACAUCGCAGUGGUAUAUUGUCAAACUCAGGCAAUAAAACAGUAUUUGAUGGAAAUUCUAUAAGCAACAGCUUGUAAGAGUCAACUCACAAGUUUACAGUGGUUCUCGGGCCGGGUAGUUUUGAAAGGGAAUUUGGCACAAAGAUGUCGUGGAUGAGGGUAGUCUCUACAUGCUACCUGCAACCAAAGAAAUAAUGUAAGAUCAAUUAAGAUGGAAAAGCAAACGGUGCGUCCAUUAUCCAACUAAUACGAAAAUUAAGGGGUUAGACAAUGUAUGGUGCUACGGUCCUGUAUUAUGAGAAACAAGUUUAACAUAAAUAAGUGGCCAAGCAAGCAAACAAGACCAAAAAUUCAAAGGGAACUUCUUCAAACCCAUUGAACUUCAAUAUCAAGGUCACCAAAAAGCAAGAAACAGGUUUUCACUUUUACCAUAAACCAAGAAUAUCAAGAUAACUACGUCUGAAAAACAAUAUCAUCCAGAAAGACCAAAGUUCAUGCUCGCAUACAACGGGGCAAAAUUUGAAAUAUGUGUAAAUCAUUCCGAUGCAUCCACAAUCAACUCUCCCUUACGAGAAAGUUAGUCGCGAAAAGUAGAAAAACAAGUCUUGGAUUGUUCCUCUUUCAUAUGACAACAAUAUCAUUAGCCUAACCCAAAACUUAAUGCCUCAACUAAUCAGCUUGCUACGUUUUCAUGACAACCAAACAGAGUUAAGCACAAGUCGAAAAAUUAUUAAGAUACGAUAACCGCAACCCUUCAGUUGAAAUUAAAUUUCUUUAAAUUCUCUAAUCAAACCAACAAUAAAAAAAACUUCCAAAGCAUUUAGUUAUCUUUCUCUAACUUCCAAUUCAGGUAAACUAAACCAACCAAACAAUGCAAAUCGUACAUAAACCAAAACCAGGUCGAAUUUAUACCUGCCCCGUUUCCCCAACCACAAUCAACUCGUCGGAGCCGCUACCCGAAUCCUCCACCACCGAAACGGGCUUAUCCGGGUCGCCGUCCAAGACCACACAAUCAUCGUCAUCAUCCGCCACCGUCCGUUUCGAAGACUUUUGGCUAGGCUUUGAGUUGACCUCACUAAUCAACACAACGUCAUCGGAAUCAUCGUCGUCGGUUACCUUGUCGACGGAUUCCAGAAGCUCCGAUACACAAUCAAAGUUGUCCUCCUCAUCCAGGUCGAUCCGACCCAGUUGGUCGUCGGAGAUACGCGAUUGGGCUCCUUCAGCACAGAUUGGGCUCCGAGGUAGCUGGAUCGGAUCAGUUGCAGGAGAAGCAUGAUGAUCGCCGGCAAGAGGGGCAGAGAUGCCUUCCCCGGCACCUCGAGAGAGCAUUUCCCGACGAAACUUUUCAAGAGAGGCAUCGAAGGCUUUGGUGAAGGCCUUUUCGAAGGCCUUGGUGAAGGCCUUUUCGAAGGCAUUGUCGAUCGCAGUGGCGAUGAGGGAAGGUAAAGAGGCGAUGAUAGCCUCCAAGGAAGCAACGCGAGUUUCCAUGGCAGAGUCGCAAGUGGCAGCGGAUUGGCGAGCGCGCAAGGAAGGGAAUCCAGAAUUCAAUACGGGUGAUACCAUUGAUAAAACCCUAAUCUCAACCCUAGCUCAACCUUAAGUAUUACACACACAUACAAGAGAGAGAAGGAAGGAAGACCAAGGAAAUCUAAUAACUUCUGUUUAUGAGAAUCUUUCCGUAAAGUCACAUUCCUUCUUAAAUCUGUAGACCAUUCAAAAGGAAUCUAAUCAUUUAAACUUCUGUCACAUAUUUAAUCAGUCUUUUUUUAUUUUUUUAUUUCUUUUAUUCAAACCCAAUUGAAUCACCAAUGAAAAUUCGUGGAAAAGAGGAAAGGUUGUUGAGCAAAAACAAUAAAAAAAAGUAAAGCUUAUUAAAUUUGUGGCACAA
Molecule: long non-coding RNA, 30654 nt
Filed under: Malus domestica (apple)
Lineage: Eukaryota; Viridiplantae; Streptophyta; Magnoliopsida; Rosales; Rosaceae
Source: RNAcentral